CGGAUUAGCGGCGGACGGGUGAGUAACACGUGAGUAACCUGCCUUAGACAUUGGGAUAGCCUCGGGAAACCGGGAUUAAUACCAAAUAAAAUCAUAAUGACACAUGUCAUAACGAUCAAAACUCCGGUGGUCUAAGAUGGACUCGCGUCCCAUUAGCUAGUUGGUAGAGUAAAAGCCUACCAAGGCGAUGAUGGGUAGCCGGCCUGAGAGGGUGAACGGCCACAUUGGAACUGAGAAACGGUCCAA
RNAcentral lists this ribosomal RNA (246 nucleotides) under uncultured Eubacteriales bacterium. RNAcentral describes it as "uncultured Clostridiales bacterium partial 16S ribosomal RNA". It matches the Rfam family "Bacterial small subunit ribosomal RNA", at positions 88 to 334 of the family's 1533-position model. Lineage: Bacteria; Bacillati; Bacillota; Clostridia; Eubacteriales. The record is from RNAcentral.